GUUCAAAAGAGGAAAGGCUUGCGGUGGAUACCUAGGCACUCAGAGACGAGGAAGGGCGUAGCAAGCAAUGAAAUGCUUCGGGGAGUUGAAAAUAAGCAUAGAUUCGGAGAUUCCCAAAUAGGUCAACCUUUUAAACUGCCUGCUGAAUCCAUGAGCAGGCAAGAGACAACCUGGCGAACUGAAACAUCUUAGUAGCCAGAGGAAAAGAAAGCAAAAGUGAUUCCCGUAGUAGCGACGAGCGAAAUGGGAGCAGCCUAAACCGUGAAAACGGGGUUGUGGGAGAGCAAUACAAGCGUUGUGCUGCUAGGCGAAGAGGUUGAGUGUCGCACCCUAGAUAGCUAAAGUCCAGUAGCCAAAAGCAUCACUAGCUUACGCUCUGACCCGAGUAGCAUGGGGCACGUGGAAUCCCGUGUGAAUCAGCAAGGACCACCUUGCAAGGCUAAAUACUCAUGGGUGACCGAUAGCGAAGUAGUACCGUGAGGGAAAGGUGAAAAGAACCCCCGGUGGGUAGUGAAAUAGAAUGUGAAACCAUGCUGAGCUCCCAAGCAGUGGGAGGGGAAAGUGAUCUCUGACCACGCGCCUGUUGAAGAAUGAGCCGGUGACUCAUACGCAGUGGCUUGGUUAAGGGAACGGAACCCACCGGAGCCGUAGCGAAAGAGAGUCUUAAUAGGGAGAUUGUCACUGCUUAUGGACCCGAACCUGGGUGAUCUAUCCGUGACUAGGAUGAAGCUUGGAUGAAAUUAAGCAGAGGUCCGAACCGACUGAUGUUGAAGAACCAGUAUAUGAGUUGUGGUUAGGGGUGAAAUGCCACUCGAACCCAGAGCUAGUUGGUUCUCCCCAAAAUGCGUUGAGGCGCAAUAGUUGACUGGACAUCUGUGGGUAAAGCACGGUUUCGGUGCGGGCUGCGUGAGCGGUACCAAAUCGAGGCAAACUCUGGAUACUAGAUAUGACCCAAAAAUAACAAGGGUCAAGAUCGCCCAGUGAGACGAUGGGGGAGAAGCUUCAUCGUCGAGAGGGAAACAGCCCAGAUCACCAGCUAAGGCCUCUAAAUGACCGCUCAGUGAUAAAGGAGGUGGGGGUGCAAAGACAGUCAGGAGGUUUGCCUAGAAGCAGCGACCCUUUAAAGAGUGCGUAAUAGCUCAUUGAUCGAGCACCCUUGCGCUGAAGAUGAACGGGGCUAAGCGAUCUGCCGAAGCUGUGGGAUGUCAAAAUGCAUUGGUAGGGGAGCGUUCCGCCUUAGAGGGAAGCAACCACGAAAGUGGGGGUCGAUGAAGCGGAAGCGAGAAUGUCGGCUUGAGUAAAGAAAACAUUGGUGAGAAUCCAAUGCCCCGAAAACCCAAGGUUUCCUCCGCAAGGUUCGUCCAUGGAGGGUGAGUCAGGGCCUAAGACCAGGCCGAAACGCGUAGUCGAUGGUCAACAGGUCAAUACUCCUGUACUACCCCUUGUUGGUACAAAGGGACGGAGGAGGCUAGGUUAGCCGAAAGAUGGUUAUAGGUUUAAGGACUCAAGGUGACCCUGCUUUUUCAGGGUAGAAGGGGUAGAGAAAAUGCCUCGAGCCGAGGUCCGAGUACCAAGCGCUACAGCGCUGAAGUAUGAGCCCCGUGGAAUAGCGAUUGCUUCUCCACGGGCUCAUACCAGGCGCUAUGGCGCUGAAGUAUGUAACUGAUGCCAUACUCCCAGGAAAAGCUCGAACAACCUUCAACAAAAGGGUACAUGUACCCGAAACCGACACAGGUGGGUAGGUAGAGAAUACCUAGGGGCGCGAGACAACUCUCUCUAAGGAACUCGGCAAAAUAGCCCCAUAACUUUGGGAGAAGGGGUGCCCCCUCACAAAAGGGGGUCGCGGUGACCAGGCCCGGGCGACUGUUUACCAAAAACAUGAAGGAAAUAUGCCCUAGAGGCAAUAAUAAAGUUAUUAUUUAUUUCCUCAUAUCAUGAUAAAUGUUUAUUAUUCAUGCUAGAAUUGUAUUAACCGGAAACAUGAUACAUGUGUGAAUACAUAGACAAACAUAUAGUCACUAGUAUGCCUCUACUUGACUAGCUCAUUAAUCAAAGAUGGUUAUGUUUCCUAACC
This is a non-coding RNA of Triticum aestivum (bread wheat), 2074 nucleotides long. Lineage: Eukaryota; Viridiplantae; Streptophyta; Magnoliopsida; Poales; Poaceae. The record is from Rfam.